UGUACUCCCAUAUACAAUUUGCUUGAUGCAGGUAUGCUUCUCCAGAUUAUAUGUGAAUCAUAAUUUAUAGUUGGAAAUACAUUGCAGACAAAUUCAAUGCAGUAUUUGCCAACUAUAAAUUAUGAUUCACAUAUCUGGAGCAUACCUGCAUCAAGUAAAUUGUAUAUGGCAGUACAG
Non-coding RNA from Pelobates cultripes (western spadefoot toad), 177 nucleotides. The record is from the annotation of a GenBank genome assembly. NCBI's taxonomy places the organism in Eukaryota, Metazoa, Chordata, Amphibia, Anura, Pelobatidae.